Long non-coding RNA from Perca flavescens (yellow perch), 881 nucleotides. RefSeq lists it as uncharacterized. Lineage: Eukaryota; Metazoa; Chordata; Actinopteri; Perciformes; Percidae. The transcript has 4 exons. The record is from RefSeq and is a predicted model, not a curated record.
CCUGCUCACAUGACGCCUUUCUGUGCGCUCCCUCUCCUCUCAGCACUCAAUCCCGGCGAGUGCAGGCAUCACUGAAGACCUGACACCGGCGGAAUCGGACGUCCACUGUCCUCGGCAGAAUUAAUCAGGUGUUAUCUUAUGCAAACUGUAUCGCCAUCAGAUGAAGCUGACCAUCCUGCCGAUGAGAAUGAGUUCGCUUCGCCGGAGGAACAGACUUUUUUCCGUCUCCGAACGACCGGAGAGGCGCAAGGGCGAGAAAAUAACGCCCAAAAGUUAUUGAAAUGAAUCGACCUGGCACGAGAAGAAGAAACAGAACAAGCGCUUGCAGCGUUAGCAGAGGGAAGGAAGGGAAGCAGAAGAGCAAACGAGAAAAAGACAAGAGCGAUGAAAGAGAGGUCCAGACAUGAAGGAGGCAUGCAUUUACACACACACGUGCAACGGCACCUAGAGUCUGUCUGCGGUCUACCACCACCACCGUGCCACACACACGCACACACAUGCCUUUUACGGGCAGCAGAUAAAGACGGAGACGCCAUUCCAGCUGUGAGGAGACAGAAGAAGUCAACAUACACACUCAUACAGACAUAUACACGCACACACACACACACACACAGCCGGAGGCGCGUGAGCAGGUGAGCAUUAAGUCAGGCAGCUAAACAGAUCACGUCGCGGUAUGAUAUCUGCAGACAGGCAGACAGAGGAGGCCGGUCUGUACCUGCAGGCAGAGAGCAACAACUCCCAGCACACUCGCUAGGAAUUUUCAGUGACAGACAUAAACUGGGGUUUCCACUGAAGCCAAAUAGUUAAAGCCUGAUUUGAAAGAGACACAUUUGCUUAUGAAAUAAUGAGAGGCCUGUAUUUCAGCCCAGAAUCUCAUGAAA